This is a long non-coding RNA of Hevea brasiliensis (rubber tree), 391 nucleotides long. RefSeq lists it as uncharacterized. The record is from RefSeq and is a predicted model, not a curated record. Lineage: Eukaryota; Viridiplantae; Streptophyta; Magnoliopsida; Malpighiales; Euphorbiaceae. The transcript is spliced from 2 exons.
UCCAGCUCUCCUGUAUAUAAUAAGCUAUCAAGCCCCCUCCUUUUUUGGUUGUAGCAGCUCCUCUGCCUCUGUGAAAGAUUCUGCAGUAUAUCGAUCAAUAAAUUUUGAGCAUUGAGAAUAAUCGGUUCGGGGAACUCUUAGCUGCACACAAGAGCUCCAACGGAUUGAAGUAUCUUGUGAGAGGAACGUGGUUGAUUGAUUACUCGGUGCUGACGGGUCGUUUCCUCUCAAAGGGUAGCACCAAAAUUCAGCUUGCUUCAAUUCACAAAUUCACAGGCUACUCUAAUCAUUUUUUCUCUUGAUUUUAUAUUAUUAUCAUUUGAAUUUUAUUGUUUGUUUGUGGUCUAUAUUUGCUGUUUUUUAUUUAAUCUGAUUGUUAAUUUAGUAUUAA